RNAcentral lists this ribosomal RNA (253 nucleotides) under uncultured bacterium. RNAcentral's name for it is "partial 16S ribosomal RNA". It matches the Rfam family "Bacterial small subunit ribosomal RNA", at positions 524 to 776 of the family's 1533-position model. The record is from RNAcentral.
UACGUAGGGUGCAAGCGUUGUCCGGAAUUAUUGGGCGUAAAGGGCUUGUAGGCGGUCUGUCGCGUCUGCUGUGAAAAUCCGGGGCUCAACCCCGGACUUGCAGUGGGUACGGGCAGACUAGAGUGUGGUAGGGGAGACUGGAAUUCCUGGUGUAGCGGUGAAAUGCGCAGAUAUCAGGAGGAACACCGGUGGCGAAGGCGGGUCUCUGGGCCGAUACUGACGCUGAGGAGCGAAAGCGUGGGGAGCGAACAGG